UACGUAGGGUGCGAGCGUUAAUCGGAAUUACUGGGCGUAAAGCGUGCGCAGGCGGUUAUGCAAGACAGAUGUGAAAUCCCCGGGCUCAACCUGGGAACUGCAUUUGUGACUGCAUGGCUGGAGUGCGGCAGAGGGGGAUGGAAUUCCGCGUGUAGCAGUGAAAUGCGUAGAUAUGCGGAGGAACACCGAUGGCGAAGGCAAUCCCCUGGGCCUGCACUGACGCUCAUGCGCGAAAGCGUGGGGAGCAAACAGG
RNAcentral lists this ribosomal RNA (253 nucleotides) under uncultured bacterium. Its description in RNAcentral is "partial 16S ribosomal RNA". It matches the Rfam family "Bacterial small subunit ribosomal RNA", at positions 524 to 776 of the family's 1533-position model. The record is from RNAcentral.